Molecule: ribosomal RNA, 809 nt
Filed under: uncultured bacterium
Lineage: Bacteria
Description: bacterial SSU rRNA
Rfam family: Bacterial small subunit ribosomal RNA
Source: RNAcentral
GGGACUUGAGAGCGGCGUACGGGUGCGUAACACGUGUGCAACCUGCCUCUAUCUGGGGGAUAGCCUUCCGAAAGGAAGAUUAAUACCCCAUAAUAUAAUGAUUGGCAUCAAUUAUUAUUGAAAACUCCGGUGGAUAGAGAUGGGCACGCGCAAGAUUAGAUAGUUGGUGGGGUAACGGCCCACCAAGUCGAUGAUCUUUAGGGGUCCUGAGAGGGAGAUCCCCCACACUGGUACUGAGACACGGACCAGACUCCUACGGGAGGCAGCAGUGAGGAAUAUUGGACAAUGGGUGGAAGCCUGAUCCAGCCAUCCCGCGUGAAGGACGACGGCCCUAUGGGUUGUAAACUUCUUUUGUACAGGGAUAAACCUCCCCUCGUGAGGGGAGCUGAAGGUACUGUACGAAUAAGCACCGGCUAACUCCGUGCCAGCAGCCGCGGUAAUACGGAGGGUGCAAGCGUUAUCCGGAUUUAUUGGGUUUAAAGGGUCCGUAGGCGGGCCCGUAAGUCAGUGGUGAAAUCUCGCAGCUUAACUGCGAAACUGCCAUUGAUACUGCGGGUCUUGAGUGAAUUUGAAGUGGCUGGAAUAAGUAGUGUAGCGGUGAAAUGCAUAGAUAUUACUUAGAACACCGAUUGCGAAGGCAGGUCACUAAGAUUCAACUGACGCUGAGGGACGAAAGCGUGGGGAGCGAACAGGAUUAGAUACCCUGGUAGUCCACGCCGUAAACGAUGCUAACUCGUUUUCGGGCCGCAAGGCUCGGAGACCAAGCGAAAGUGAUAAGUUAGCCACCUGGGGAGUACGUCCGCAAGGAU